This is a non-coding RNA of Rattus norvegicus (Norway rat), 3705 nucleotides long. The record is from RefSeq and is a predicted model, not a curated record. Lineage: Eukaryota; Metazoa; Chordata; Mammalia; Rodentia; Muridae.
AGAUGUGCGCUACCACUGAACCGCCUGGCCUGCCUUCCCUCAGCACUGGGGUUACACGCACUUGUACCAGACCUCUUUUGUGUGGGUGUUGGGGAUCUCACCUCAGGUUCUUUUUUUUUUUUUUUAUAAAUUUAUUUUUUUAAGAUUUUAUUUUAUUGUAUAUGAGUACACUGUAGCUGCCUUCAGAUGCACCAGAAGAGGGCAUCAGAUCUCAUUACAGAUGGUUGUGAGCCACCAUGUGGUUGCUGGGAUUUGAACUCAGGACCUCAGGAAGAGCAGUCGGUGCUCUUAACCACUGAGCCAUCUCUCCAGCCCCAGGUUCUAACUCUCUUGUGGCUUGUACACUCCACCCAGUGGGUUCUUUCUCCAGCCUACUCCUUUGUUUUUAUUAUCUGUCUCUGGAGCCCAGGUUGCCCUUGGACUUUGAGCAAUCCCCCUGUGUCUCUCUCCCUCCUCAGGGUUGGGAUUAUAGAAGUGGCACAAAAUCAGGAGUUUAGACAAACUUCAUCCUAAAUAUUUCAUAAACGUGAGAACAUCUUCAUGUGAGACAUCAACACGAUGACUCACAUAUAGAAUCCCAGUAUCAGGGCUAAGGCAGGAAGACCCAGAGUGAGGACAGCCUAAGCUGCCAAGUAGCAUGAUGAUGAGGAUGAUGGUUACAAAGAAUUCUAGGUAUUCGGGUGGCCAGUGCCAUGCCACAGGAUUUCAGGAGGUGCCUGGAUGUACAGUGAAGUCAGCAGGGAAGACAGACCAGUAAAUGCCAAGACUGAGGAAGCUCAGCCUCUCCCUUGCCUCCCCCCUACCCCCGGCCACCCCAGGGCUACCCCGUUGUAAGUGAAAGGAGGGCUGUUUUCUUUGCCUCUGGGACAGGCGAGCAACCGUUGGCCGCACCGCCGAUGCAGCCGUUCUCCGUGAUGGAUGGCAGCCGGCUGGAGCUGCUGUUCCAAUUUGUUCCCAAUUUGGACAGCCGCUUUACCCACAAUUCACCUUGUCAGGGCCACAAAUCACUGUGGACAACCAGACUCAGAGAUUAGAGAAGCCCAGAAGAAAGGGGCCCCAGGCUGUGGAGGACCCCAGGCUGGGUAGCAGGCUUGUGGGACUAGGCACUCUCUCCCACCAGGCCUGCCUCCUGCCAGCCCUAGCCAGCCCGGGAUCUGGAUGACACUCUACCCAGGCAGGUUUGCUCCCUAAGCCUGUCCAUCCCUCGGAAGCCAGCAGGGGGUCCUUCAACCAGCACUUCUGCAGAUCCUCCACACCCAGGCUCUAAAGCCUCAGGCUUCCUGCUCUGUUUAUGGGGGUGUCUGACCACCCCAUACUCAGAGUUAGGGGAAGCCAGGCUCUGAAUCACUCACCUAUUCAUUCGUUCACUACAAAUAAUCAAAGGGAACACUUGCUAUGUCACAAUAGUAAGCAAAACCACUGGGCACACGAGUCAUAGGAGACACAAGGAAUCGUCACACGGAACGGAGGAGGCCUGCGACAGAGACUCACAGCCUCUCUCCUGUCCUUCACAGCCCUGGGAAGACUCACCUCUCAGGAAAGCCCAUGCGUGGGCACAUGGUGCCAGGUCCCUGGUGCCAGCCUGGGGGCCCAUGCCCACCACCCACUAGAGAUAAUGGAACAGAAAGGACAGGGGGUCAGGGUGGACCUGUUUACAAAGGCUCUUUGGAGCAACUCCCAUCUGCGUCGUCUGGAAAUCAGCAGUUCAGUUCACAGGUCUGGAAAGCAGCUCGAAUCAGCAUCGGUGGCACUACCUAGCGGGACAGCCAGGCUUCGGGACAGCCAGGCUGCAGCCUCGCACAGCAUGAGUCAGCAGGAGGGGCCAGGCGGGAGGCCAGCAGAAGUUCUUGGCUGUGCCUCUCUCAGUGAAGUGAACAUCAGGGAAGACUUGUUUAGCUAUGCAAGCGAGCCCAGCUGAGCUCAGCCAGUCACUGCUGCGUCCUUGUACUCCUUUCCUGUGUCUGUCUCAGCUGACGUCACUGCCAAUCAGCCCGAAUCCCAGGAAGCAACAACCGCAGCACACCACCAGAAGGUUUUUGGUGUGUUUCUCUCUAUGGUGUCCCAACAAAUGGAGCUCAACUAUGCAAUGUAAGGCAGACCAAUACAUGUGUGUCGUUAGCAAAGAAUCCUUUAUCACAUGUCCUUUCACGUGCUUGCUUUAGCAGAACAUCCUCUCCCCUGUGUCUGCUUCAGGGAACCGUUCCUUUCACACCCGUGUCUGCACUCAUGAAAUGUUCACUCAUUUGCCCCAGCAAAACACCAUCCAACACAACUGCCUUUCCGAAGAACCCCAAGUUUCCACUUCAGUCCUAUGUGUGUGGGUUUGGACCAGUGAACCCCACACCAGGACAGGAUUCAAAUAUUUUUCGUUUUUUGUUUUUGUUUUGGUCAGGGUCACUGGUAGCUCUGGCUGGCCUUGAACUUGCUGUAUAGCCAGAGGACCCUGAACUUCUGAUCCUCCUGCCUCCACUUUCCAAGUGGCACAAGCGUGAAUCACCAUACCCAGGGCAGCUCACAACCACUUGUGACUCCAGUUCCAGGGGAUCCAACGCCCUCUUCUGGCCUUCACUGGCAUUGCAGGGUGAUUCUCGGCCCCAACCCAAAGCACCCACUAAUGAGUCGGAAGAGUUGAGUUCCAGGAGUCUGUAAUUUCACCCGCACACCUCUCCAAAGCAGACUGGGCUGAGCAAGCCCAGUGGUGAACAUCAGGAUGGCAAUGUGACCUGUUGGGUGGGGCUGGAGAUGGGAGGGGCCAGGACCCUUUGUCUUCUCAGUCUAGAGCCAGGCAUGGUGGGUGCAUUGUCUAAACCCAUCUAGAACCCUAGCACACAUACACAGAGGCAGGAGGUUAGAGAGAGGCCCAGGCCGCUUUCCAAAGCCAGGAGGAAACGUGAUUAAACAAGAAAAUUCUAUUUUUGGUUCUGGUAUGAACAGAUAUUUUGAAAAAAAACAUGUCUGACCUCUCUCUCACACUCUGUGCACUUCUGAGCCCAGUACCAUUAGAGGGUGGGGUGAACUGAAGACCUGUGGACAGACAGACUUACCAGGUCCAGUGGGACCUUGUCUGUCCUGAACAGGCAUCCUGGGCUUCUCCCUGCUUUGGCAACAGGGCCCUUGCCCAGAGCCUGGCCUUCUUGGUGCUGAAGGAAGGGCUAGGGGUCCUGAGUGGGGGCAGGAGGUGAAAAGUGCAGACGUCAGGGGCUGUCUGUGGCUCUGCCGCUAGGAAAGAUCCUGGUGCAGACUGGUGCAAAAGCUGGGGCUAAGAAAUGGCCUAGUACCCCUGGGCAGGGUGUCAAGAGAGCCCCCGUUCACUGUCCUAGGUGGCUCUGGGCCUCCGUUUUCCUUAUUCACUGUGGAGAUGGAAACCUUGCCUUGAGCAGGCCAGGCUAGAGAUGUUAAGAGUUCUAGCACACGAUAUGCUGGGGUCAGUGUUCUUUGCAGGGUUCCAGCCCGAUCCGCUGUUCAUGGUCCUGUGUGCUCUGGGGUCAGCCACUCACACUCUCUCCCAUGGAGCAGUGAUGGGUGAGUCUGAGCCUGACCUCUGUGCUGCUUCUCUGAGUGGCUCCCCAUGAGAUGCUCUCCCGUCCUCUCCCAGGGCUCUGCUACCCCUGGCACUGCAGGCUGUCCACCCGUCAGUGACUCUCUAGGCCCCUCGUCCUGACCUGCUUGGCUUCUGGUUCUUUGUCUCAUCCUGGGGCCCAGCUG